Molecule: ribosomal RNA, 116 nt
Filed under: Pteropus alecto (black flying fox)
Lineage: Eukaryota; Metazoa; Chordata; Mammalia; Chiroptera; Pteropodidae
Source: RNAcentral
GUCUACAGCCAUGCCACCCUGAACAAGCCCAGUGUCUGAUCUCAAAAGCUAACCAGGGUCGGGCCUGGCUAGUACUUGGAUGGGAGACCACCUAGGAAGACCAGAUGUUGUAGGCA